UCACUAAGAAGCUAAAAAGGGAUUAAGCGCUAGCCUUUUAAGCUAGAGACUGGUGACCCCCAACCACCCUUAGUGAA
This 77-nucleotide transfer RNA is filed under the name Pygoplites diacanthus. RNAcentral describes it as "tRNA-Lys". It matches the Rfam family "tRNA". Rfam says of the family: Transfer RNA (tRNA) molecules are approximately 80 nucleotides in length. Their secondary structure includes four short double-helical elements and three loops (D, anti-codon, and T loops). Further hydrogen bonds mediate the characteristic L-shaped molecular structure. tRNAs have two regions of fundamental functional importance: the anti-codon, which is responsible for specific mRNA codon recognition, and the 3' end, to which the tRNAs corresponding amino acid is attached (by aminoacyl-tRNA synthetases). tRNAs cope with the degeneracy of the genetic code in two manners: having more than one tRNA (with a specific anti-codon) for a particular amino acid; and 'wobble' base-pairing, i.e. permitting non-standard base-pairing at the 3rd anti-codon position. The record is from RNAcentral. Lineage: Eukaryota; Metazoa; Chordata; Actinopteri; Pomacanthidae.